AUGUCUUUGAGGCGUAUGGUCAUCGGCUGGUGGAGAUGCGUGUGUUCCAGGGAGGGAGCUACUACGGUGGAGGCUUAUAUCCAGCUCCGAUCGCGGGACGAGGCGCACCAAGCUCGUGAUGCCCUGAAUGGCCGAGCCAUCUAUGAUGGUUGUUGUUUCCUCGAUAUCGACCAAGCAUCAUCGGCCUGCACAACUGCAGCAGUGCCCUGCCCAAGAUCCACAACAAGGCAUCUCAUGAGCCAAGCAGCGCAACCGAGUGCACUGACAAGGCCACGCUCACCCUCAACAACAAGCUCCAGGUCCUCCUCAAGGCUGAAGGUGUCCUUGAGGAUGACGUCGACACCAUGCACACCAAGUUGGACAUCGCGAUUCUGCCGGCAAGCACGUCGUCCAGUAGAUGACAUGGAACUUCAAGUGGGUACUGGCACCCCUUCUGAUCCCGAAAGAUUUUAUUUUUUAUUUUUUUGUCAACAUGUCUAG
RNAcentral lists this ribosomal RNA (480 nucleotides) under Triticum aestivum (bread wheat). RNAcentral's name for it is "partial small subunit ribosomal RNA". The record is from RNAcentral. Lineage: Eukaryota; Viridiplantae; Streptophyta; Magnoliopsida; Poales; Poaceae.